GCUGUUUUUCCCUUCCUCUCACAAAAACAUAAGUUGGAUGAAGCUGAAAAAAGUAGCUUAUUGUAGCUUCUCUCUCAUUUCUCUCUCUCAACUAUGCAUGAAGUAGUUGGUGAAACUAUUUUGCCAAACACUUUUUUCAAAACAGCUUAGCUUCAUCUAGAAAGUCACUCAUGAAGCUAUUUUCUAAAAAAACAGCUUUACUAGUGAAGUUGAGCUGUGCCAAACAACCCCUAA
RNAcentral lists this long non-coding RNA (234 nucleotides) under Sorghum bicolor (sorghum). Its description in RNAcentral is "long non-coding RNA (SBIC_LNC001930)". The record is from RNAcentral. Lineage: Eukaryota; Viridiplantae; Streptophyta; Magnoliopsida; Poales; Poaceae.